GUUAACGAGGGGCCCGGAGACGCGAUAAUACGGAGGGGGCAGUGGUGGGCCGGAAGCAUGGGGGGGAGAGGGCGUGUGUGCGGCCCGGUAAGUCCGCUGGGAAAGUCGAGGGCGCAACCCUGUGAGGCGGGAGGAUACUGGCGGGCUAGGGUCCGGAAGAGGCGAAUGGAAUUCCUGGUGUAGCGGUGAAAUGCGCAGAUAUCAGGAGGAACACCAAUGGCGAAGGCAGCUCGCUGGGACGUGACUGACGCUGAGACGCGAAAGCGUGGGGAGCAAACAGGAUUAGAUACCCUGGUAGUC
Molecule: ribosomal RNA, 300 nt
Filed under: uncultured archaeon
Lineage: Archaea
Description: bacterial SSU rRNA
Rfam family: Bacterial small subunit ribosomal RNA
Source: RNAcentral